GUGAAUCAUCAAAUUUUUGAACGCAUAUGGCACUCUUUGGUAUUCCGGAGAGUAUGCCUGUUUGAGGGUAAUUAAAAAGAAUUUUUAACUAAUUUUUUUUGGUCAAAGUAAAUGAGUUCUCCGCGUUUAUAGCAGUAGCCUGAAAUAAAUGGUCAAGUCUCAUUUUAGUCGAGACGCGUAAUAAUAUUUUUUCGCUAAAUCUUCAUUAUGUGAAUAUCAAGUUUUGAUGCAUACAAAUUUGGUUUGUAUUUUAUCAAUGCAAAUAAUUAUAACAUUACUCAAAAUCA
RNAcentral lists this unclassified non-coding RNA (287 nucleotides) under Ambisporaceae sp. Its description in RNAcentral is "partial contains 5.8S ribosomal RNA and internal transcribed spacer 2". The stretch from base 1 to 71 matches the Rfam family "5.8S ribosomal RNA", at positions 84 to 154 of the family's 154-position model. Lineage: Eukaryota; Fungi; Glomeromycota; Glomeromycetes; Archaeosporales; Ambisporaceae. The record is from RNAcentral.